This 612-nucleotide long non-coding RNA is filed under the name Arabidopsis lyrata. Its description in RNAcentral is "long non-coding RNA (ALYR_LNC003103)". The record is from RNAcentral. Lineage: Eukaryota; Viridiplantae; Streptophyta; Magnoliopsida; Brassicales; Brassicaceae.
GGGGUAUACUACUAAUAAUUAAUGUGCACUAUUUCAUACAAAAUGAAACAUAAAAAUAAGAUUGGGAUCUCAUUUAAGACUGGAAGCUACAGAACGAGCCCACAAUUUAAGGCUAUCUUUCAUGUUCAUGUCACCACGUAACUUAGCCAUUCUAAAAUCUAUAACCAUUGAAUCUUUCUCUGUUCUUCCACUCCAUUUAUCAUAGUAAAAGUCUUAAGCCUCCGACAAAUAUGGUCUCGGCACCAUCAACGGCUCUUUCUCAUUUUGUUCUUCCGGGCAGAGAAAUGUCCGCAAUCCGGGAAGAAUCUCCGGUAACUCCGAGUGUAAGUCUUCUUCUGUAAAAACAAAACCUAAAUCCAUAAAACCUUUUGUCUCCUCAGCUUCUAAAGCAGACACACUCUCUCUUUUGUCACUUAUUCUUCUUCCUCCUCCUUUGCUCCUCUCUGAUCCUCCUCUGGUUCUCCAAGUUAGAUCAUCGGAGCUUAUCAAUGCUUCAUCGAUCCGUUUCGAAGGCUUCCACACUUUUCCUUCGAUUUUGGCAUUCGGGUUUGGUAUCAGAAUGUUGUUUUGAGGUCUUGCUUAUUUCCAUCUCUCAAGCCUCAAGAAUCAAAG